AGAAAUGCUAGGGACACACUCUCUAACACACCCCUUUAACACACACCAAUAAUAAAUUGCCACGUCAUCCAAUUUCCUUAUUGAUUUACCUGACAACCGGCUGCAUAAGUUAAGAAACAACGUUAUUAUUUUUUUCAAAAGUCAUCCAAUAAUCUUAAUUGUGAAAAGAAAAAAAAAAAACAUCGUCACUAUCCUUUGUUCCUUCAACCACCCUUCCACUAAUUUAAUUCCUGCAAGUAUUUCCAAUUACGUUUUUCUUCCCGUUGAAAUCGAAAUCUAAAACAAACUCACUAGAAAUUACCAAACUCAAAUUGUUAUAGAAAUGGAACCCUUAUGCUUUUUCAAACUCAAAUUCUCUGUUUUUUUUUUUUUUUUGCAAAGGUUCCAAAAAAGUGAAGGUACAGUCAUGGUGAAAAGUGGAAACGCAUGGAAGAAUGAAGAUGGACGGUUUUUUUCAAAACUGAAGAUGGAGAGUUAAAGUCCAAAUAAAAAAAAUAAAUACUCUUUCAAAAUCAAACCGGUAGCAAGUUACCAAAUUAAAAAUAGUGGAUGACAUGUCAAGUUAUAAUUGGUGUGUGUUAAAAGGGUGUGUUAGAGAGUGUGUCCCUAGCAUUUCUC
RNAcentral lists this long non-coding RNA (618 nucleotides) under Medicago truncatula (barrel medic). RNAcentral's name for it is "long non-coding RNA (MTRU_LNC004552)". The record is from RNAcentral. Lineage: Eukaryota; Viridiplantae; Streptophyta; Magnoliopsida; Fabales; Fabaceae.